ACCAUUAACAAAAAAAUGGGCCUUGUACUGACCCGGGGGUGCAGGCCUGAUAGGAGGUGCAAUCCGGGAAAGAUCCGCUUCUUCUUUGGUCCAAACCGGAUGCAAGCGUUGAAAUUCAACCUUACGCACACGAAGGUGACAGGCAAACGCGACUUCGACUCAGAGCUUGGCGGUGUGUUGCGAUCCGUCCUUCAUCUCAUGAGUUCAUCUUCUUCAACGACGGAUCAAAACAAAACUCAGAUAAUCAGCGUCGCGAAAUCAAUCUCGACCGUUCGAUUUGAUUAGCCUGCAAACGCACGAAAAUGAAUGCGAAAUCGAAAGAAAGGAUCGCUGGAUUGAAGCUCGAUUGAGGACAGGUGUCUGGAUUCUAACAAGUAUAUCUUCUUCUUCUAACACUCCUGGCAACGAAUCGGACUUUCGUCACGAACAGGCGGAGUUUGUUGUGAAUUGGAAAUGGAGGUUUGAUGAAGGUGAUUGUGAAUUGAAAAACGGUUACGGUUACGGUGGUUGAAGGUUUUGGUUGAAGAAUUGGAAGAGAGUUUUUGAUGAAGGUGAUUGUGAAUUGAAAAACGGUUACGGUUACUGUGGUUGAAGGUUUUGGUUGUAGAAGAUUAGGUGAUGGAGGAGGGAGUUUUGUGAAGGUGGUUGAUGAAUGGAGGUUGAAGAAGGAGAAGCUGGAAGCGGUUGAAGAUUGAUUUAUAUAGGUUUUUGUAUUGGCUUGUGUAUUAGCUGCGUUUUGCUUGCGGUUUACCGGCUUGGCUCGCUUGUGGCUUGAGUUCUUGGAAUUGCAGCACCGCUUGUUUUGCUGAGCUGCAUUUUACUUCUUGGCUCAGGCUGUAUCGUAGCCUUCGUUCACUAUUCAUACCGUUUUGAUUUUCUCUUCUAUGUUGCAGCCCCGUUUUACUACUUGGUUGCCUUUUUUGCAUUUGGAAUUUGGUCAAGUACUGAUGCCAAUCUACUUUGGUAUGCUGGUGUUUUGUCUGUUAUGCUGCUAUUGUCAUGUAGCAGUACUUCCCAUGGCCUUCUCAUUUUCAUACAUGGCAUUGGUCUCGGAGAUUAUAAAUUGGAUAUGCAACAUUGAUUAUUAUUUGAAUAUGAAAUGGAUUAGAAAAGUGGGUAACGUGA
Long non-coding RNA from Lathyrus oleraceus (garden pea), 1125 nucleotides. RefSeq lists it as uncharacterized. The record is from RefSeq and is a predicted model, not a curated record. The transcript has 3 exons. Lineage: Eukaryota; Viridiplantae; Streptophyta; Magnoliopsida; Fabales; Fabaceae.